Molecule: ribosomal RNA, 465 nt
Filed under: Vreelandella stevensii
Lineage: Bacteria; Pseudomonadati; Pseudomonadota; Gammaproteobacteria; Oceanospirillales; Halomonadaceae
Description: partial 16S ribosomal RNA
Rfam family: Bacterial small subunit ribosomal RNA
Source: RNAcentral
CCUACGGGGGGCUGCAGUGGGGAAUAUUGGACAAUGGGGGGAACCCUGAUCCAGCCAUGCCGCGUGUGUGAAGAAGGCCCUCGGGUUGUAAAGCACUUUCAGUGAGGAAGAACGCCUGGUGGUUAAUACCCAUCAGGAAAGACAUCACUCACAGAAGAAGCACCGGCUAACUCCGUGCCAGCAGCCGCGGUAAUACGGAGGGUGCGAGCGUUAAUCGGAAUUACUGGGCGUAAAGCGCGCGUAGGUGGCUUGAUAAGCCGGUUGUGAAAGCCCCGGGCUCAACCUGGGAACGGCAUCCGGAACUGUCAAGCUAGAGUGCGGGAGAGGAAGGUAGAAUUCCCGGUGUAGCGGUGAAAUGCGUAGAGAUCAGGAGGAAUACCAGUGGCGAAGGCGGCCUUCUGGACUGACACUGACACUGAGGUGCGAAAGCGUGGGUAGCAAACAGGAUUAGAUACCCCUGUAGUC